AGGGUGAAUACUGUGCUGAAGCCAGGAUCUUGUCCUCCCUGGGAAGAAGAAACAAGAUGGCUGCCUUCCCAGUGUCCCCAGAGUGGUUGGUGACAACUCAAUAAUGACUCUUCCUUAAUGGUAUGAAGAGAGGAAUUGUAAGAUUAUGAGGAAACUUGCCACAAUCAUCCAAGAAUUUAAAAUAUCCAUUUGAAGUCUGGGAAGUGGAGCCAGGAAGCACGUUUUGGAUGGGCACUCCUGGAAGAGAGCAUCUCUGUGUGCCUAGAAGGAGAAGAGCUUUGCAAUUCUUUUUUAUGAACCAUGUGACGAAGAUGUACCAAGAACUGCUUCUAUCAGUGAAGGAGACAGCCUGGUUUCAGAGGAAAUGCAUUUACAGUGAUUCUUUGCUUUUAGACAUUCAGCAAAAGAGUGCUGUGACGAGAACUGGGCAGAACAUCAGCUCAUCAGAAGCAGUGACAUCCAAGAGCCCAGAGGAGCCUGAAGAACAAUUGAGAGAAGCCUCCUUUGCCAACGCGUUGCCCACCAGGGCUGCACGUGGUACCCUUGCUCCAAGAUGCUUCCCAAAAACACCAGGACCAGGCAGUUAAAUGGCACUUGUACCAGCUCGGUGGACAUGGAGCUCUUCCUUCAUUAUUCCCUCAUCCCAUCACUCUUCAUCAUGUUGAUCUUGUCCUUCCUUCAAAGAUGAGAGCAUUGUAGACAGAGAGAUGAUACCUCUUACCUGCUGGGGAACUGCUUUGGCAUUAUCAUGCCUCUGGACUUCGUGGGCACUUUCAGUAACCGAUGGUCCUAUGGAAUCACCUUUGGGGCCACAGCUAAUAAGGUCAUGUUUUUGUUCUCAGAAGGCUACCAGCCCCUGCAGAUCCCGCAGUGGGCCCAAGGUACUGGGGAUACCUCAUACCUGCUGGAAACUGCAUCAUGAAAAUUCUUGCUCUCAGAGACCACAUGGCACACGCUGUCUGGGAUCAGAGGAUAAACUCUGUGAAUGGUCAUGUUCUUGCCAGCCUGUUGCUUGCCCAGGGUCAACACCUAGCCCACAAAUCUUCAAAGCUUCUUUGUGGGGCUUUCCCCAGUUACAUUCAGAGGUCCUUUAGAUAUGAUAUAUCAAGUCUUAGGAAGUAGGUUCUUCCUCACCUACCUGCCAAAAGCUCUCCUGUGUCAUAGUCAUGGCUGCCUUCUUGAUGUUGAUGAGCCCCAUUCCUCCUCAAAGAACAAUGCUUAUGUUUUUGGCCAUUAGUCUGAGGCAUCGUCUUUCCCCAUGCCUCAUGCUCCAUCUGGAGGAGUGUAACUCUAAGCUACAAGUUCACUUUUCCAUGAUACAAUCAUUCUCAAACCUCUCUGUCCAGUACAGUUCCCUCUCAUGGGCUCCAAGCCUAUGUGAUCAAAUGCCCGCUAACAGGUCAUUAGUCUUUAAGAAAAUGCAAAUUAAAACCAAAAUAAUGCAUCAUUACACACCUCUUAGAAGUACACAGUUUGAGAAGUUUUGGCAAAUAUUUACAUCAAUGAAACCAUCGCCACAAUCAGGAUAAGGAAUCUCAGAGAUUUCCUUGUUCCCCUUUGUAAUCUCCCUUUUCCUCCCCUCUUCUGUCACAUGCCCACUAAUCUACUUAGUUUGCAUUUUCCCGAAUUUUGUAUAAAUAGAAUCAUACAGAAUGUACUUUUUUUUUUGGUCUGGCUUCUUUCAGUCAGCAUAGCUAUUUUGAGAUUCAUACAUAUGUAACAUGUGUUAGUAGUUUAUCCUUUUUUCUUGCUGAGUAGUAUUCCACUAUAUAAAUUGACUACAAUUUGUUUAUCCAUUCACUUCAUGAGUAACAUCUGAUUUAUUUCCACUUUUGGCCAUUGCAAAUAAAACUGCUGUGAACGUUUGUGUACAAGUCUUUUCAUGUA
Homo sapiens (human) is the source of this 1887-nucleotide long non-coding RNA. NCBI's taxonomy places the organism in Eukaryota, Metazoa, Chordata, Mammalia, Primates, Hominidae. The record is from Ensembl.